UGUAGUGCAGGUCAGUCACGCGUACAGCACAGGUGGUCCAACAUAAAGAGGAGAGGGUGAGGGGUUACGAUCUUUUAAAACCCUAACUCAUAAGAGAAAAGAAGACAGUCAUUUGCGGCGUUUAUUCUUGGAGAUGUUAUGAAUAUGUGUGGCUGUCUUACUUUUGCAUAAUAAGAAAGUAUGGUGUUGAUGUACUGGAAUGGUUGACUUCAUCUCAGCUUAUUUUCACUGGAAUGAAAUUCUAUCACGCCUCCUCUUGGUUCAAAGAACUUUUCUGCAGAGUACUGGUUUCUUAUAUCGUAAUCUCAAGGAAUCUGGUUUCAUCCAAACAUGGGAAUGUGUUGCAGCUUUUGGAGUUUUGUAGAGUGUUUGGAAAGGUGUCAAAAUACAAGAUGAAACUGCUAGGGAAUUUCGUUCUCCUACUCCAAAUGGACGGUAGAUUGAACUCCCCGAGGAUGCUGUGGCCAGUUCUCCAAAGGGAACUGGAAAAUCUUGUCAUCAAUGCCGGCAAAAAAAGGAAAAUUUUGUUGCAACCUGCAAGAACUUCAAGAGAGGAAAACAUUAUACAAUUAAGUUCUGCAACAAGUGCCUCUUGACCAGGAGCUUGAAGUUUGUAACAAAGAAGAUGGUGGUGAUAAUGUUGGUGCCAUGUGCCAAGGAGAAGGAGAAGUAGAAAGGUUCCCAACAAUUGAGGAGGAAAUUCUUUUACCCCCUGGCAUGGAAUUAAAACAAAUAUUUGGCAUCAGAGUUACCACUCAAAGAUGUUGGGGAUGCGUUGCAGUUUUUAGAAUUUUGUAGAGUGUUUGGAAAGGUUCUUGAUCUCAUGGAAGGAGAAGCUGAAGUCAUUUUAAAAGAAUUGGUUAGUAAAGGACAUAACUCCUUGCUAAUUGAAUUUCACAGUAGACUCUUGGCUUUGAUCCUAAGCGAAUCAGGAAAGGAGAAACUGAGGAGAUAUAUUAAAGAUGAAAACUCAAGAUAUGCAAAAGGAGUGAAAGAAGCAAAACUUAAGAUUGAUGCAAUUAAGGAAAAGAUAAAGUGUCUUGAACGGAAGUUGCGGAAUGAGAAGGCAAAAGUUGUUUCUUCAACUGUGUCUCCCUUUCCAAUGGAGGAAAAAAUAAGAACCGAGGUUGAUGAAGCACACGCUAACAUGCUCAGAUAUCAAAAUAGAGGAUGAAACUGCAACUUCACCUGAAGAAAGUUGGUCUGUUUAUAGUCCUGCAGAGAUAUCAAAAUAUAUUUCCUCAAGGACCAAAAGACUUAAGAGCCGCAAGGUUUCUCACAGUAAAUCAAGUUCGCAUGACUUUUGAGCAUAAAUCUUCUUUCGGUGAUGGAGUAUUGGUUUUGGUGGAAAUCUUUCUCUGACGGUCCUUUUUAUCGAGGCUGCACAUGGGUUAUUUUAUUGUAUCAAUGAAUAUAACUUUUUUGUAUUUUUUUUAGUGGAACACAAAAUGAAAUGAUUUUUUUUG
Vigna unguiculata (cowpea) is the source of this 1466-nucleotide long non-coding RNA. The record is from RefSeq and is a predicted model, not a curated record. NCBI's taxonomy places the organism in Eukaryota, Viridiplantae, Streptophyta, Magnoliopsida, Fabales, Fabaceae.